This 809-nucleotide ribosomal RNA is filed under the name uncultured bacterium. Its description in RNAcentral is "bacterial SSU rRNA". It matches the Rfam family "Bacterial small subunit ribosomal RNA", at positions 8 to 846 of the family's 1533-position model. The record is from RNAcentral.
AGAGUUUGAUCAUGGCUCAGGAUGAACGCUGGCGGCGUGCCUAACACAUGCAAGUCGAGCGAUUCUCUUCGGAGAAGAGCGGCGGACGGGUGAGUAACGCGUGGGUAACCUGCCUCAUACACAUGGAUAACAUACCGAAAGGUAUGCUAAUACAAGAUGAUAUAAGAGAUUCGCAUGGAUUUCUUAUCAAAGCUCCGGCGGUAUGAGAUGGACCCGCGUCUGAUUAGCUAGUUGGUAAGGUAACGGCUUACCAAGGCGACGAUCAGUAGCCGACCUGAGAGGGUGAUCGGCCACAUUGGAACUGAGACACGGUCCAAACUCCUACGGGAGGCAGCAGUGGGGAAUAUUGCACAAUGGGCGAAAGCCUGAUGCAGCAACGCCGCGUGAGCGAUGAAGGCCUUCGGGUCGUAAAGCUCUGUCCUCAAGGAAGAUAAUGACGGUACUUGAGGAGGAAGCCCCGGCUAACUACGUGCCAGCAGCCGCGGUAAUACGUAGGGGGCUAGCGUUAUCCGGAUUUACUGGGCGUAAAGGGUGCGUAGGUGGUUUCUUAAGUCAGGAGUGAAAGGCUACGGCUCAACCGUAGUAAGCUCUUGAAACUGGGAAACUUGAGUGCAGGAGAGGAAAGUGGAAUUCCUAGUGUAGCGGUGAAAUGCGUAGAUAUUAGGAGGAACACCAGUAGCGAAGGCGGCUUUCUGGACUGUAACUGACACUGAGGCACGAAAGCGUGGGGAGCAAACAGGAUUAGAUACCCUGGUAGUCCACGCCGUAAACGAUGAGUACUAGGUGUCGGGGGUUACCCCCCUCGGUGC